Molecule: ribosomal RNA, 58 nt
Filed under: Bacillus subtilis
Lineage: Bacteria; Bacillati; Bacillota; Bacilli; Caryophanales; Bacillaceae
Also listed under: 1 other name
Description: partial 16S ribosomal RNA
Source: RNAcentral
CUUUAUCGGAGAGUUUGAUCCUGGCUCAGGACGAACGCUGGCGGCGUGCCUAAUACAU